GCUAGUGUAUCCAAAAUGGCGCUCUCUGGGAUACUCAAGUAAACAAUUAAAAUAAAAAAAGGUUAUACUUAUACUUAUUUAAAUAUAUUAUUUUAUUGAUAUUGUCUCCCGCCCAAGUGUAUCUAGUUUGUGGGAUUAAAACUUCUGAACGUAAUUUGUCAAGUCACUUAUUAAUUAAUUAUGAUCAAUAAUCCAGUAGUUGAGUGUUCGAUUUCAACGUGGUAUCCGGAAUUUACAAAAAAUUCAUUAGAAACAGUUGUAUUAAAAAUACCAGAUAAUUUUCUUAAUUAUUUAGAGCAUGAUGCAUUUAUAUUGCCACUCGAAGCUACUGAUAAUAAAGUACGAAAUUUAAAGUGGUCUGAUGGUUCUUCCGGAGAUGAUAACCUAGCAGAGGAAUCAGCUCAACCAACAUUUCCAGAGUUUAGUAAAAAAAUUCAAGAUGUAAUCGAUGAUUUUGGAGCAGUAUUUAUAAAAUCCAAUUGGAGAACUCCUUCAGAUGCAAUGUGGGUAGCAGUAACAAAAUCAUUAAAGUGCACAUCACUUGAAGAAGUAUAUUUACUUUUAAAAAGUUCAGAUCGCAUUUCACGUGAUCUUACUGCAGUAAAAGAGCUAACGAGUGAUACCAAAGUAAUCCCGCCUUGUUUGGUAUUAAAAAAAUGGCGUGACAUAAAUCCAUGCACAGAAUUUCGUUGUUUCGUCGUGAAUAGAGAGUUAGUUGGCAUUUGUCAAAGAGAUGUCACUCAAUACCAUCAGUACAUAGAAAAUGAAAAAUAUAGUAUACAAACUGACAUAAAAAGUUUGUUUAGGGAGCGUAUAAAAAAUCGAUUCCAACUAGACAAUUAUACGUUUGAUGUGAUUCGUUACAAAAAAGACAAAGUAAAACUACUUGAUUUCGGACCGUUGGAUGAGUCAACAACAAAAGGAACACUAUUUACCUAUCAAGAAUUAAUUAGUUCAAUAGUAGAACCACCAGAAUUUCGUUUCAUUGGUGAAGACAUGGGGAUUCAACCCAGUACUCCAAAUUACUUUUGCAUGCCCCAGGAACUUAACGAAUAUUUUACCAGAGAAGGCUCUAAUGACAUGAUUGAAAUGAUCCGCAGGGCAGUUGAAACCCAACAAAUCGAAUGAACGGCUUAACAAUAAUUUUAUCAAUAUUGACUAAUAAAUAAUAGCUUAUAAUUAUUAAAAAAAAAGUAAAUAAAUCUAAAAAAUGUUAUUAAUUAAUUGAAAAAAUGAUUAAUUGUAGGAAAGGCAUUCGCGCUUCACCACCGUUAUAAUACGUCAAGAAUAGUACCUGCCGAUAUUCAAAUAAGAGAUGAAGCAUUUUUGUACUAAAGUGCAGCAAUAUAUGAUAUUAUUAUUGUUAUUUUUAUUUUAAGUAUUUAUUAUUUUAAAUCUUAAUUAAUAAAUUUAUAAAUUUAAGUUAUUCAUAUAAACUACUCAAUGUACAGUAUGGAUUUACAUAUGAUGUCAUUUUUAUAAUUUAAAAAAAAAAAUUUUUUUAAAUUAAACUAAUCUAAUAAGUAAAUAAAAAUAAUAACCCAUGAUAUUUUGUCCUAUCUUUUAUUUAAAAUGUACAAAUUGAUCAGCAACUCAUGUUUUAUUUUAAAAUAAUUAAAUAAUAAAAUCUCAUAAAUAUCGUUAAUGGUAUUAAUUAUUUAUUAUUCAUUAAAAAAAAUAUAAACUGAUGAUAAAAUAGG
This is an RNA transcript of Microplitis mediator, 1700 nucleotides long. It is a transcript of the gene named cell division cycle protein 123 homolog, with no coding region annotated. Lineage: Eukaryota; Metazoa; Arthropoda; Insecta; Hymenoptera; Braconidae. The transcript has 7 exons. The record is from RefSeq and is a predicted model, not a curated record.